This 910-nucleotide ribosomal RNA is filed under the name uncultured bacterium. RNAcentral's name for it is "bacterial SSU rRNA". It matches the Rfam family "Bacterial small subunit ribosomal RNA", at positions 8 to 916 of the family's 1533-position model. The record is from RNAcentral.
AGAGUUUGAUCCUGGCUCAGGACGAACGCUGGCGGCGUGCCUAACACAUGCAAGUCGAGCGAGGGAUUUAUGACGGAUUCCUUCGGGAUGAAGACAUAAAUCACCUAGCGGCGGACGGGUGAGUAACGCGUGAGGAACCUACCUCCUACAAGGGGAUAGCCUCGGGAAACUGGGAUUAAUACCCUAUGACACUUAAGGGUCGCAUGAUCUUUAGGUUAAAGCGAUAUAGCGGUAGGAGAUGGCCUCGCGUCCCAUUAGCUAGUUGGUGAGGUAACGGCUCACCAAGGCGACGAUGGGUAGCCGGCCUGAGAGGGUGAACGGCCACACUGGAACUGAGACACGGUCCAGACUCCUACGGGAGGCAGCAGUGGGGAAUAUUGCACAAUGGGCGGAAGCCUGAUGCAGCGACGCCGCGUGAGCGAAGAAGGCCUUCGGGUCGUAAAGCUCUGUCCUAUGGGACGAUAAUGACGGUACCAUAGGAGGAAGCCCCGGCUAACUACGUGCCAGCAGCCGCGGUAAUACGUAGGGGGCGAGCGUUGUCCGGAAUUACUGGGCGUAAAGGGUACGUAGGCGGCUAGGUAAGUCAGAUGUGAAAUCCAUGGGCUCAACCCAUGUAAGCAUUUGAAACUGCUUAGCUUGAGUUAAGGAGAGGAAAGUGGAAUUCCUGGUGUAGCGGUGAAAUGCGUAGAUAUCAGGAGGAAUACCAGUGGCGAAGGCGACUUUCUGGUCUUAAACUGACGCUGAGGUACGAAAGCGUGGGGAGCAAACAGGAUUAGAUACCCUGGUAGUCCACGCCGUAAACGAUGAGUGCUAGGUGUCGGGGGUUUAACCUUCGGUGCCGCAGUUAACACAUUAAGCACUCCGCCUGGGGAGUACGUUCGCAAGAAUGAAACUCAAAUGAAUUUGACGG